This 598-nucleotide ribosomal RNA is filed under the name uncultured Hyphomicrobiales bacterium. RNAcentral describes it as "bacterial SSU rRNA". It matches the Rfam family "Bacterial small subunit ribosomal RNA", at positions 111 to 744 of the family's 1533-position model. The record is from RNAcentral. Lineage: Bacteria; Pseudomonadati; Pseudomonadota; Alphaproteobacteria; Hyphomicrobiales.
UAACGCGUGGGAAUCUACCUUGAGCUACGGGAUAACAGAGAGAAAUUUCUGCUAAUACCGUAUGUGGCCUUUGGGCGAAAGAUUUAUCGGCUUAAGAUGAGCCCGCGUUGGAUUAGCUGGUUGGUGGGGUAAAGGCCUACCAAGGCGACGAUCCAUAGCUGGUCUGAGAGGAUGAUCAGCCACACUGGGACUGAGACACGGCCCAGACUCCUACGGGAGGCAGCAGUGGGGAAUAUUGGACAAUGGGCGCAAGCCUGAUCCAGCCAUGCCGCGUGAGUGAAGAAGGCCUUAGGGUUGUAAAGCUCUUUCACCGGUGAAGAUAAUGACGGUAGCCGGAGAAGAAGCCCCGGCUAACUUCGUGCCAGCAGCCGCGGUAAUACGAAGGGGGCUAGCGUUGUUCGGAUUUACUGGGCGUAAAGCGCGCGUAGGCGGAUAGAUAAGUCAGAGGUGAAAUCCCGGGGCUCAACCCCGGAAUUGCCUUUGAUACUGUUUAUCUUGAGUGCAGAAGAGGUAAGUGGAAUUCCGAGUGUAGAGGUGAAAUUCGUAGAUAUUCGGAGGAACACCAGUGGCGAAGGCGGCUUACUGGUCUGCAACUGAC